CAAAGGAAUUGACGUGGACCCGCACAAGCGGUGGAUGAUGUGGAUUAAUUCGAUGCAACGCGAAAACCUUACCUACCCUUGACAUGUCUGGAAUCCCGAAGAGAUUUGGAGUGCUCGCAAGAGAACCGGAACACAGGUGCUGCAUGGCUGUCGUCAGCUCGUGUCGUGAGAUGUUGGGUUAAGUCCCGCAACGAGCGCAACCCUUGUCAUUAGUUGCUACGAAAGGGCACUCUAAUGAGACUGCCGGUGACAAACCGGAGGAAGGUGGGGAUGACGUCAAGUCCUCAUGGCCCUUAUGGGUAGGGCUUCACACGUCAUACAAUGGUCGGGACAGAGGGUCGCCAACCCGCGAGGGGGAGCCAAUCCCAGAAACCCGAUCGUAGUCCGGAUUGUAGUCUGCAACUCGACUACAUGAAGUCGGAAUCGCUAGUAAUCGCGGAUCAGCAUGUCGCGGUGAAUACGUUCCCGGGUCUU
RNAcentral lists this ribosomal RNA (474 nucleotides) under uncultured Bordetella sp. RNAcentral's name for it is "bacterial SSU rRNA". It matches the Rfam family "Bacterial small subunit ribosomal RNA", at positions 902 to 1382 of the family's 1533-position model. Lineage: Bacteria; Pseudomonadati; Pseudomonadota; Betaproteobacteria; Burkholderiales; Alcaligenaceae. The record is from RNAcentral.